UUGCGUGACACCGGUUAAUGCAAGGUUUUGAUGUAAAAGAAACAUUUUCUGCAGCUGGUUAUUUUAAAUAUUCUGUGUUUGUGUUUAUAUAAUACGUCCAAUGAUAUCUGUCCUGUACAUGGUGAAAAGAAUACUGUUUCUAAAUAUAUAAUCUUAUCGGCGAGGUAGGACAUAAAGUGUGGCUGUGAACUGUUGUCGUACAGUCUGUACUGUUUUCUUUAUGGUUGGUUUGUGAGCUUUUUGCAGUUAACAAACUGGUCUGAUGAAAUGUUGCUUCGUGUGACACGGUGGAACUGGUUCAGAUGUUGUUUUGCUUUCUAUUUCAUUUGGCUAUGAGCUCAUUCUGAGACUUCUAACUUUUUAAAAAAUAUAUGUACGUGUCCAUUUCUAUUCUCCGUGUUAUUCUUAAAUGUGACUAUCGGGGGAAAAAAAUAGGGCAGGGUAUAUAUCUUUAGCAAAGUGCAAACAUACUAAGUUUUAACCAUUUUAACCUUUAACACUACUGAUUGUAGACGCUCGUAAACAAAGUAGGAGGAGGAAGAAGUUGACUCGUGACCAACGGGGGAUUUCUUUCUGAGCAUGUGUGUGACGUAUAGCAUGCUUAAAAGGCGGUCUGGGCUAUCAAUAGGUCAAACCUGUUCCUGAACAUCAAGUCUCAACACUGAAGAAGCAAAACGAUCCCGUGAAGCGCUUCUCGUUUUCGGACUAUUAUCGUUGAGAAAAUGGCCAGCAAAGACAGACCCUCAGGAGCUGCUGCCGCUGUUGAACUCUGCGCACGCGAGCUUCGUAAAGCCGGCGAUGAACUCUACUGGAAAUACAAACUGCUGGAAAUACUUAUCAAGCACUACAAGACUGUCGCUAAUGUCAAGUGAGACAUGAUGUGAGAGCUCAUCAAGAGGAAGCGUGUACUGUAAAUCUGACUGGCCGUGAGCCUAACAUUAAAGACGGGUCUCAUAUAUAGACUCAUAACUGGUGGCAAUAUGGUAGCCGUAAGUGGGAUGUACAUAUGUUUGUGGACACAUCUUGCUGGAGUCGCUGGAUUUGGACUGGCAGUGGACUCAAAAAGGAAGACAGGAGCUCUCCAGAGGAAAACUUGUGGGAUGCUGUUGAUCCGCUGAUACAGAUCGGUGACGAACUGGAUCGAACAGGAGCUUCAGAAUGGAUGAUAUCUGCUAAAGAUGAUGAUUGUCACAUGUAUAUACACCGUAUACUAUCUGUGGACAUUCAUGCAUGUUGGCUCUGUUAUAGGUUAAGGUGUAACAUUUAGACUAACUGACUUGGACCUAAAGGAAAUGACACUUGUGAAUCUAUAAAUUCUGUGAAUCUACUUAAAAUGCAUUUAAAAAAUGUCAGCAUAAGUGGAAGUGUGUCAUAAAUAGUUCAUUAAAAGAUAUACAUUCAGUAAAUGUAUUACUUGGU
Long non-coding RNA from Haplochromis burtoni (Burton's mouthbrooder), 1419 nucleotides. RefSeq lists it as uncharacterized. The transcript has 2 exons. Lineage: Eukaryota; Metazoa; Chordata; Actinopteri; Cichliformes; Cichlidae. The record is from RefSeq and is a predicted model, not a curated record.